This 209-nucleotide long non-coding RNA is filed under the name Gallus gallus (chicken). The record is from RNAcentral. Lineage: Eukaryota; Metazoa; Chordata; Aves; Galliformes; Phasianidae.
CAGCAACUCGCUCUGCUGGCAGCCAGCAUCCCCUGAGCUGCCCGUGCCGACGCCCCUGGCUGCCCCUGCGCCUCCGUCGCCCCGCACUGCACAUCUGAUGGAAGAGGCGCGGCGGAGGCGGCCCCGGGUGGUUCUCACCCGCCUGGCACUGCCGACCCCCCUGGCUGCCCCCGCACCUCUGCUGCCCCGCACUGCACGUCUGAUCCAAG